This 5345-nucleotide long non-coding RNA is filed under the name Sus scrofa (pig). Its description in RNAcentral is "lncRNA (ENSSSCG00000058642.1)". The record is from RNAcentral. Lineage: Eukaryota; Metazoa; Chordata; Mammalia; Artiodactyla; Suidae.
AAGGUUUCUUGAGCCUUCCUAACCUUACCCUUAAAUCCACUGGAUACCAGUGCUCUUAUGAAGUUCUUAGGAAUACCAGUUACAAACCUUGCCCAUGUUUUUCUCAGAUCUCUAACCACUGUUCAUACCAAACUUUCAUUUCUUGAUAAUUAGUGAUCUCAGUUGAUGAUUCCAUAAGCAAUUUGAAUGCCCAGUAGACAAUGUUUCUGAUUGGUCAUUAAUACUUUUAAUGUAUAUUAAAUACAAUAGAUUUCUAAUUGGUGAAAUUGAAGGGAGAGAUAAGAAUGGUUCUAUUCAGUGCUUACUCUCUUCAGAACUAGAGCAAGAUAAUUUUAGCUCUGUUUUUUGGGUUUUUUUUAUGUUUUUAUAUUUGCUCCAGAUUCUUUAGAUUCUAGAAUGUUUGAUGAGGCCAAAAAAAUUAUUUUGACAAAAAUUAGGUAAAAUUUGCCUUCAUAUUUGUUUUAAAAGUUUUGUAUAUAUAAUACUCCAGCAAUGGUAAUUUAAUGCAAACAAAGGGAGAGAAUAUAGAAUGAGAUUAAGAGUUGUUAAAAUUGCUUUUUAUCAUUGGCACAGCAGGUAAAAUGAUAGUACCCCUCUUCUGGAUGAAUGGAAUGGAAGGUAAUUGUCAGGAGAAUAUGAUGUCAUUCAUAGAUUCCUUGCUAAUGGUUAGAUGUCUGUUUUACUCCUUGACAUACUCUCACUAACAAAGUAUUCAUCACUUUGAUUCUUACUAUUGGCUUGCAGUCAAUGAUCCAUCUUUAUAGAGAGAUUUUAUACCUCAUUCUCCUUUUGGUUUAUGUUUUGACAAACCAGAGAGUGCUAAUCAAAGGGAAAAAAAACCUGUAAUUUAUCUUAGUUGUAGAAUUAAUAUUUAAACACUACAUAUUUUAUUCUCAGGUACAUAAGAUUUACAUUCCUAUUUACAGGCUCAAGUGCAGUGAAAUUCAUUGAUGAUGAGAGCUAGGAAUACAACUACAACUCCCAUCCUCUCUGUUACCUUGAAUCCUCCACUGAGAAAUUGUAAAUGUCUCCCACCCUGAUUCUUUUGACUUUGUUAUGAUAUUGAAAGCAAUUUUGUACCCAACGGGGCACACUAACAGAACACAUUAUCCCCUGAAUUAUAUUUACGGUAUCAUUUUGCAUUUAAUUAUUCCAUGUCAUCCUUUGCUACUUCACUGAAGAACUGUGAAUUCUUUGUAGUCAGGCCUCAGAUAAUUUUAAAAUUGUGGUAUUUGCUUUGGUAAGAUCCUCUCUAAUAGAAAACAGGCACUCCUUUAAUCUCAUUAAACUGUCCUUUAGAUAAUUAAAAUGGUUAUAAUAUGAAAUAUUUUUUGAUGGCAAGAGAUAAUAUACCAUGCCACUUGCUAUUUAAAUAAGAUCGUGGCAUUCACAUUCAAUUUUAAAUAUGUUUAGAACAGAAUAUUCCUUACAAGAGCAAUAAAAAUCAUUAAGUUCUUUAAGCUAUUAUAGGCUACUGCUUCCAAUGUUACUCUUCACCUACACCUAUCUGUUAAUAUUUUAGGAUAAACAAUUAGAAGAUGCCAAAUAUGCACAUAUUCUUGAAGAAAAGUGUUGUAUUUUUUGUGAAAGUGAUGGUAAAAAAUGGAGAAAAUAACUAGCUCUGUUUUGCAAUUUGAGGCUUUGGAGAAUAUACCCUUGAAUGACUUACAGGAAUUAUUCAUGCAAGGUGUUCUCUUCAGCAAACGUUUGGUUGAUUGGCCAAAACUAGCAUUAUCUUGAAAGAAUUUUCAAGUGAAAUUAGACUGUCCAUUCAGAUAUCGGUUGAAAAGAUUUUGGUCCAGCCAGUCUUUCAGCAUGGAAAUUUUACAAAAUUAAUUGGAUCACUCUUAUUUUGUGAAUUGCUCUGCUCCCAAAAAGCAGACAUUCACCACAUCAGAAUCAAGAAAGAGAAAAAAGAACAGUUCCUGAUAUUCAGAAGACAGUCUGGCAUACACAUCUAGGCUAUGUUAUUUUCCCAUUAGAUAUAAACAAUUCUCACAGAGUACCAGCCUCAGAUAAGGGUAUUCCUUUUUGUUUGUUUUUGUCUUUUGUCUUUUUACGGCCACACCAACGGCAUACUGAAGUUCCCAGGAUAGGGAUCAAAUCAGAGCUACAGCUGCCGGCUUGUGCCACAGCCAGAGCAAUGUGGGAUCCAAGCCAUGCCUGCGACCAACACCACAGCUCACAGCAACGCAGGAUCCUUAACUCACUGAGCAAGGCCAGGGAUCAAACCUGCGUCCUUAUGGAUACUAGUUGGGUUUGUUAACCACUGAGCCACGAUGGGAACUCCUAUAUAGAAUAUUGAGUAGAGUUCCUUGCAGCAGGUCCCCAUUGACCAUUCAUUCCAUAUACAAUAGUGCUUAUAUGCCAGUCCCAAACUUGCAAUCCAUCCCUCCCCACCACCUUUCCCCUUUGUGUCAUUUCUUUAGACUCCACAUAUAAGUGAUAACAUAUGAUAUUUGUCUUUUUCUAAGACAGGAUUAUUCUGAUACCAUGAUAAAAUGAAACAAAUAGAAGCCACCUCAUAAUUUUGUCUAUGCUCAGACAAAAAUCAAGAUUGUUUUAAAACUUCCAAAAUAACAAAGCACCUCCCCCAUUUUCUGGGCAAAGUAAAUGCAUAUUUCUUAACUAAUACAAUGUAAAUCUUGUGUUAGUCUCUACUUUCUGUAAAUAAAUUUUACUGAGAUAGACAAUCACAGAGUUGCUUCUACUUUCUGACAGCAUGCAGUCUAGAGGGAACACUAGCCUCCUUACAUCUUCUCUCAAAUUACCCACUCAAAGCCCCAAUCCUAAUAGGGUCUUUCUAACACCUUCUUAUGGAGACACUCCAUGGUUCACCAUAGUCUGUGUCCUCCUUUGCUAUGACAAGGGAUAAGUCCAGUUUGUUUACCUAUAGAUGUGUUUUUGGUAAUAUUUUGCUUAAGUAUAUUAAGCGAAAGUGACAGUAUUUAAGGUCAUGUGGCAGAGAAAAUAGUCAUGGUCAUCAAAUUUCUAAGUUAUGCUUACUUCUUACUUUAAACCCUCUUAUGCCUGAAAAACCAAUAAAUGCACACAUGCAUAAAACCUUCUUUAACAUUUAAACCCAGAGGAAAACAGCAGAAAUUGAUACUAAUUUACUAUCAUUAUGAGAAAUAACACCUUCAGUCAGGAAUAACAAGAGGAAAAGUGUAUAUAUAUACAUAGAGAUAUUUUUAAAUUCGAAGAGUAAAAUGAAUCAAUGGUAUUUUCUUAGCUUUUUUCCUUGUUUUUCUUCUAAGAACUUGGUGUGUGGGUGUGGUAGACUGAAAAAUGCCCCCCCCCACCCCUAUGUCCAAGUUCUAAUCCCUGGAACCUGUGAAUCUGUGAAUGUGUUACAUUAUAGUUUACAAGGGAUUUUGCAGAUAUAAUUAAGGUUAUGGACCUUAAAACAAAGAGAUUAUCCUGGAUUAUCUGAGUGGUGCCAAUUUAAUCACAUGAGCCUUUCAAAGCAGAGCCUCUUUUCUGGCUGGAGGCCAAGGGAAUAGCAGAAGCAGAAGGAGGAGGGAUUGGAAUUAGAGAGACUUGACCUGCAGCUCCCGGAUAGAGGCUACAUGAUGAGGAUUGCGACAACCUCUAGGAGCCAGGACUACAUUCAGACUGACAGUGGGCACAGAAAUGGGGACUUCAGUCCUACAACCACAAGGAGGAACUGCACCCAGCCCACAAGUUGAAUGAUCUUGUAAGUGGGUCCAGAGCCUCAUGAAAGACAUGCAGACUUGCUGGCUCAACUUCAGCUUUAUGAAACUCUAAGCAGAGAACACAGUUGUGUAAUGCUAUAUCUUGACUCUGACCUACAGAAUUGUGAGAUAAGAAAUGGGCAUUGCAUCCAACUUCUAAAUGUAUAGUAAUUUGUUAUUGCAGCAAUAGGAAACUAAAAAUUAUCUCUCAAGGUCAAGGUUAACCAAAAGAUUUUGCUUUGCACCCUUAUGGGAAUAAUAUUUUUACCAGAAAAAAAAAAAAGAUGAUUCUCUAGAUCAACAUCUAUUUUUGCUUCAUAUCCCUCUUUGUUUUUCCCUAGAAUCUAUAAUUCACUUUUAUAAAUUAAAAGGUAAUAGUCUAUUUUUACUUAGAGGAUGGGAAGUAAGAAAAGUGUAUAAACCAUGCCUCAAAGAAGUAGCUAGGCAAUAUGAAAGUGUGGUAAAGGAAUAGGGCAUGUGAGAAAUUUACCCAAGUAAAAAUUAAUCUAAUUAUGUGUGUAGAUAUAAGUUUUGUUACCCCAAAGAAGUUGGCACAAGAGAGAAGAAUCUCAGAAUUGUUAUAAUGAAUUGAUGAGGAGAUGAAUGGAUCCUGAAAAAGUAUCAGGCAUUUGAAGAUGAUGAAGGCAAGAAAGUAGGAAUAAAAUACUGACUCUUGAUAUGAGUGGCUAGAAAGUUAUCCAGUCUUCAAAAGAAGGAAUUCAUUUUGAAACAGAUAACUCUUAAACAAGAUGUGUAAUUAUUUAUGAGUAUUAGCAAACAUUUUCACAUUUAUAUAUGUGUAUUUUAAAUUAAAAAGUACAUAAAAUAUACAUAUUUUUCAUAGGAAAUUAUGUUUAUAUUAUUACUAAUUAAUAUUUUUAAUAAAUUACCAACACAGAAAAAUGUUUAAUAUACUACAAAUAUCUGAUUCUGGGGAGACCUAAACAAGCAUUUGGAAAAGGCAACAGUUGUGCCCAGUCAGACACAGCUUCCAGUUUAUUAGGGAAUCAUACAACUACUUCACAAACAGAAAAUGUUUUUAAUUUGAUUUGUCAAGAUUUAGCCUCAAUCCUUUUAUUAAUGGCUUUUGAAUUCAGUAUGUUUUCUUGCAUUCUAUAUAAGACAAAAUAAAAAUAUCCUGUUUUUCAUUUGAGUUUUUUAGAAUUUGUUGGUUUUAUAGUAAAACCUAGAAGAUCACAGUCCUCACCUUGAGUAUAUCUCCAAAUAAUUUGAAAUUUCCAAAGGGAGUAAACUCAGCUCAUAGUAUUUUGAAUCAUUUAGAGAUUUCAUUUAACUACAUGUGUAUGAAACAUCUGACUAGAAUGGUUUAAUCAACAGUAGAUUUUAUUUUUCACCCACCAUCUCUGAAAGUAGGUGGCCCAAGUCUGUUGCAAUGACUCCACAGAUUCUUAAGAGUUAUCACAUGUUAUCAUUCAAUUAUGCUAUUUUUAGUAGGUGUUCUCAUGUUUGUGAAAUCUCACAAAGACAUCUCAACAUUCCCAUCCUUUUAGGAAGCAACAAAGUAGAUGUGGUGGAAAAGCAGAAGUAUUCCAACCAGCUCCAGAAACAUUCUAGUUGGCCAGAAUUUUGUCACUUGAAUACUCCUUGUAAGAAAUUUAGAGAAAUGCAACAGAUAAUCUGCACAAAUAG